RNAcentral lists this ribosomal RNA (300 nucleotides) under uncultured bacterium. Its description in RNAcentral is "bacterial SSU rRNA". It matches the Rfam family "Bacterial small subunit ribosomal RNA", at positions 496 to 795 of the family's 1533-position model. The record is from RNAcentral.
GCUACCGCUGUGCAAGCAGCCGCGGGAAUACAGAGUGGGCCAGCGUUGGUCGGAAUUACCGGGCUGAAAGGGCGCGUAGGAGGCCAUCUACGGCAGACGUGAAAUCCCCCGGCUUAACCUGGGAACUGCGUCGGAUACUGGACGGCUUGAGUAUGGGAGAGGGAUGUAGAAUUCCAGGUGUAGCGGUGAAAUGCGUAGAUAUCUGGAGGAAUACCGGUGGCGAAGGCGGCAUCCUGGACCAUUACUGACGCUGAUGCGCGAAAGCUAGGGGAGCAAACGGGAUUAGAUACCCGGGUAGUU